This 465-nucleotide ribosomal RNA is filed under the name uncultured bacterium. RNAcentral describes it as "partial 16S ribosomal RNA". It matches the Rfam family "Bacterial small subunit ribosomal RNA", at positions 338 to 795 of the family's 1533-position model. The record is from RNAcentral.
CCUACGGGUGGCUGCAGUGGGGAAUAUUACGCAAUGGGCGAAAGCCUGACGCAGCGACGCCGCGUGAGGGAUGAAGGUCUUCGGAUCGUAAACCUCUGUCAGCAGGGAAGAACGGUCACUGUGCUAAUCAGCAGUGAAUUGACGGUACCUGCACAGGAAGCACCGGCUAACUCCGUGCCAGCAGCCGCGGUAAUACGGAGGGUGCAAGCGUUAACCGGAAUUACUGGGCGUAAAGCGCUCGUAGGCGGUAUGUCAAGUCAAGGGUGAAAUCCCCGGGCUCAACGUGGGAACGGCCUUUGAAACUAGCAAACUGGAGUGAGUGAGAGGAUAGUGGAAUUCCAGGUGUAGGAGUGAAAUGCGUAGAUAUCUGGAGGAACAUCAGUGGCGAAGGCGACUAUCUGGCACAUAACUGACGCUGAGGAGCGAAAGCGUGGGUAGCAAACAGGAUUAGAUACCCGUGUAGUC